AGCUUAUCCCGUCACUCACCCCAUGCAGGGAGCAAUCAGUGGCAGCAGCAGUUGGGGCUGGCAGACCCCGGCUGUGGCCUCCCCGGGGGCAGAGAGAGUGGAGGGGGGAAUAAACUCCCUCCCUACCUCCUCUGCCCAGGGGGCCACGCUGGCAACAUCUGGCCAUGCCCCUGCCCCUGCUGCUGCAGCAGUGAGGGGGGAACUUCAGGUGGACCCCGGCUCAGGUCCGUGCCAGUGGGACAGGGAGGGGGAAUUAAACUCCUGCCCUGGCCAGUUCGCUUGAGGCAUGGGUCCCCCAGCACAGCUUCUCUGCAGCUAAGGGCAUGCUCUAGUGCCCCCCGGCUCCUGGCCUGAGCCACUGCAGGCACAUGCCUUCAUUUCCUGAAUAUCUAUUCAUUCCAAAUUGGUUCAAUCUAGGCAGGUUAGACUAACCUGCAAAGAUUGAAUCAAUUCAGGUUCUGGCAUUUUGAAUGUCUGUUCUUAUCCCAUAUUGAACACUGCAAAGUAAACUGCGAAACUGCUACUAUCACUUAGUAAGACAUGAGUGGUUUUGAAACCCUUCCUCAAAUUUUCAUAGCCUACUACAAUCGCAUGGCCAUAUUCAGCACAGGAGUACCUGUAAAUGGGACACUGAAUCAUUCUGUAUCUGAUAGUCUUCCAGCUUCCAGUGCCCACCUUGUGGUGAAGGUCCAUAUCUGCUCCCUAGCCUACACUGUCUUGCUAUGAAUAAGACUCACUACUGUUCUAUUCUUAUGGUCCCUUCAGAUUGGUUUGUUUAUUAAAUCUCAUAGGAUAUUUAAAUAUGUUUAAGGAGAUUGUAGGGCAACAAAACAGAUAGUAGUUCUUCUCCUGCUUUUCAGAAAGUCAGUCGAAAUUUUGUGGGAUUAGUCUUAUAGUUUAGAUGUGUGUAUUUAUUGCAUGCCCUUAUUUUUACUGGAAAACAGGGACUGUCUUCAUAGCAUUUCUUGAAGCAAGCCACUGCUUACAAAAGCAGAGGUUUUAGCUCAUCUGUAAGGUAAAAAUCUACCCUGCCUUCUGCUUCACUUCAGGCUAAUAUGGCUAACUAACUUUCUCUCUCUCUCUCUUUCUCUCUCUCUCUAACUAUCCAAACACUUUCAGGAUAAAUGCACAUUAUGCAAGACUUGCAAAGGCAUAAACUGAAAAGAAGAUCCAAACUGAGUUGUUUUCCACUCAGAGUUUAAAGCUAAAGCAAACUUUAGCUGACACCACUAAUAUUUUUUAUGGGAGAUUUUGUAAAAAGACUGUUACUGGCUCCACGCAGUAUGGCACUUUCUGAAUCUCCACCCUCUGUUAAUCCGUUCCAGAAGCCAUGCCAGUACACAACCCACCAGUUUUAAUGGUUGACAGCUGUUUUCAUAUACUGUAUAUUACAUGUACAGUAUGCAGGGCUCUGGAAUUAUCUUCCCCUCCCUCCACCUAAAUUAGUUCAUUUCCUUUUCCCAGCACUGCUGCUUAAUUCCUGUGGGACAGAUGGAUAGGGGGAAGAACAAACAGCAGCCAGCACAUAAAAAUGGCAUGGAUCUAAUGUGUACUUGGAAGUAACUUCACAUAUUUGGAAGGACAAUGGCUCUUUCAAGACCUGAAUUUCCCACAUAUCAAGAUCAGUGAAGUGUUUUCCUAACUUUCUGUUUAGGCAUUUCAAAAGGAACACCUGACAUCAGAAGAAGCCAGUGAAAGAGCAUGUUUCAGGAAGCUAAAAGGAUCUGACAGCUGGUGCAUAAAAGACAUUUUAAGUGGGCACAGUGAGACCCGAAAAACAACUGGCACGAAUUAGCAUAGCUUCACUGAAGUGAGCAGAACUGUACAGACUUAUAAUAGUUGAGAGUCUUGUUCAUUGUCUGGAGACAACAGACAAAAACUCUACUUUUCAUGGCUGGCCCUUGCUCUGAAGGUGUAACAGUCAUGAUUCCUGCACUGGGGUGUACAGAGAUUGCUCUUACCUCACAAUAUUACAGAGCACAUUUUUAGCCUCUGCCACAACUGGUAAAGAGAGAUGGGAAAGGACCCAUUGUUAGAGACAUACAGAGGCAUAGGUACGAGAAAAAGAAGGAGGACAGAAUGCCCUGGGGUGCUGAAUGGCCACAAGCUUCAUCCCAUAUUGACAUACUCCUUUCAGCAGGGUGCUUCUCUAGAGGAGGAUGCUGCUACAAUUUUGCCUUGCCUCGUUGAAAAGCUGUCUACACAAACAGGAAUUCCCAUGAUGCCAAAAGACUGUGGGAGGGGCUGUGUCUGAACUCCUGGGAUGAUAAGUUGGAUGCUGGCUCUAUGUUACACACCUGCAGCCUGGCCAUUUGAACCCCCUUUUUGGCAAGGGCCAUUGAGUAUUCACAUUGAUGUAGUCAUGCUUCUUACAGUAACUACAGCAAAAAGGGAAACAGCACAUUUGAGAAACAUGUCCUUAACUAUCUGUUCUAUGCAGAGGAAUAAGGAGAGCAUCACAGUUCUGUUGGGUAGGGUUUAGGCGUCCAACAGAAAUGCUGUAAUGAUGGGCGGUUUUAUUGCCGAAGAGAAACCAAGCUCUUUAUCUCUUGAUGACACAGAUCUGAAUGUUUGCACAUGUUUGAGAAGACACGUUUUUGGGGGAGUAUCAAUAUUAUUUUACCCUGCUGUUUGCAUAAUUUUUCCUCACUUGCAAGAACAAGGGAAACAUUCCAAAGAGGCUUCCAUUAUAACUUCCACUUUCUCACACACUCCUUUCUGAAAUUGAAUCUUUUUUGGCUGAAAUUUCCCAUGCUUUGUUUCUUCUUAAUAGCAUUAUUUUGGCUGAGACUCUGGGAUUCUGCAUGAGAGGGCUUAGGAGGGGAACAGAACAGUUACCCAUAGGGACCCUCAUGUUUCCAUCUAAGAAGGAGCCAAGCCAUUUGAAGUAAUUUCCAUUCGUCCCUGCUGUUUCCUGGAGAUGGGACAGGAAUAUUUGCUGAUCAACAGUCAUGUAUGCAUUAUGUUUAUUGCUUAUUUUAGUAGACUUUUUAAAAUGAUUCAUUUAGACUACAACCUUUUCAUUGCAGGGAGCUUUUCUUAUUUGUCUGUCAAGACCUUUAUGCUAUAUACAUAAUAAUAAUCUAUAUAAUCUUUAUUCACACAUCCAGGAGUACCAUCUGUCUCCCUGCUCUACCUACCAAAAAUAUUGUCACAUUUUCAACACACACUCGACUCAUUGCUGCUGACACACUUAGCAGAAUGACAUCUGUUCAUGUACUGUAUCUUAUAGAUUCUUUGUUGGGCCCAGCUGCUAUAUGCUUGAUACAAUGAAGUAUCUCACUAAUUUCAGGAAUGCCUAUUUUUCUUGAAAGAGAUUAAAAGUGUUUAGGUUUGACAGUGCAUAUUUAUCUUUAUACAAACCAACUUUAAACAUUAUACAAGUGGAGUGAGAAAAUGGUUCUUAGAACUUUGAGUGAGAACUUAGUAGGUAGCACUUGACUUGCUGCUAUUUAUAAAUAGUGAUAAUGAUGAUACAGUUUAAUGAGCUGGAAAACUUUAAUGCUUUAUAAAACACUUGACAAACUUCAAUUCUCAUUGGGUUACCUGUGAUUUUUGCCUUUUUGUAAUCCAUGAGCAUCGAUGUUGAGCUGGUUGUAUGCUGUAGAUGACCACAUACUUUGCUUUCCCUGUCAGGUUUAUUUUUAACUUCUUCAGAUACUGUGGUUUGGUGCUAUUGGAAACUAUCUCUUGGGGUAAACUAUCUCUUGGGGACCGCUGGUCUAGGGAAAAGAUUAGUUAUGGAAGUGGAUUAAGGAUAAUAGCUUCAAAAAGUGUCUUAAGUAUUACUUUUGGGGUGCCUGUAUACUUUUGCAAACCCAGCCACCUAUCUGCAUCCAUCUUUAGUUACCUAAAAUCUGGUCCUUAAACCCUAUUUUGCAAGGAACUCAGGUACAUCACUACAAGUUAAAAAAGGUGCCCCCAAGCACUCUUGAAAACUUUGCCCUAGACUUCUGGAGACCUGAGCAUCAUGGGCUUCUGGUACAACCAAAGGCAAAUAGACAAAACUUAUAUGCUUGAGUUUCCCAGCCACAAAUUGGAAUAAUCUUAGCCCCACUAGACUGGUGUGAGGGCAGCCUCAUUAAUGUUUGAAGUGCUUGGGUGCUAAGUGGUAAAGGCCAUAUAAGUGUCAGCUUUGCUUUGGAAAACAUUAAAUGUAGUUGUGUUAACAAACUAGAAGUGGCAUAGCAUUAUUGCCAAGUUUAGGCAUAUCUUGAAUCCAUAAUUAGGGGUUCCAAAUUUGUAGUGAGACAAAGCAAUUUUUGCAGCUUGGUCAUGACAUGAAGGACUGAUUUUGCUGGUAUUUCUGGAGGCCCUGCCCCUUGCUGCUGAUUGGUGGAAAGGCAUGUACCAUAUCAUUUAAUAGCAAAUUCCACAGAAAAUAAAUUUCUUUUUAGUCAUCUUCA
Molecule: long non-coding RNA, 4406 nt
Organism: Alligator mississippiensis (American alligator)
Lineage: Eukaryota; Metazoa; Chordata; Crocodylia; Alligatoridae
Exons: 2
Source: RefSeq, a predicted model, not a curated record